CUUGCAUUACUCUUAAUAAGAGGUUAUCCCUUCGGGGACAAGGUGACAGGUGGUGCAUGGUUGUCGUCAGCUCGUGUCGUGAGAUGUUGGGUUAAGUCCCGCAACGAGCGCAACCCUUGUCGUUAGUUACUACCAUUAAGUUGAGGACUCUAGCGAGACUGCCUGGGUUAACCAGGAGGAAGGUGGGGAUGACGUCAAAUCAUCAUGCCCCUUAUGUGUAGGGCUACACACGUGCUACAAUGGCUGGUACAGAGAGAUGCAAUACCGCGAGGUGGAGCCAAACUUAAAAACCAGUCUCAGUUCGGAUUGUAGGCUGAAACUCGCCUACAUGAAGCUGGAGUUACUAGUAAUCGCGAAUCAGAAUGUCGCGGUGAAUACGUUCCCGGGUCUUGUACACACCG
This 401-nucleotide ribosomal RNA is filed under the name uncultured bacterium. RNAcentral's name for it is "bacterial SSU rRNA". It matches the Rfam family "Bacterial small subunit ribosomal RNA", at positions 990 to 1392 of the family's 1533-position model. The record is from RNAcentral.